Molecule: RNA transcript, 10013 nt
Organism: Brassica napus (rape)
Lineage: Eukaryota; Viridiplantae; Streptophyta; Magnoliopsida; Brassicales; Brassicaceae
Gene name: vacuolar-processing enzyme delta-isozyme-like
Exons: 4
Source: RefSeq, a predicted model, not a curated record
CGGACCAGCUGACUAAACCCUCAUAAUAUUCACCGUUUAUAUUAUAAAUUAAUAGUUUUGAGUUUUGGUGAAUGUGGUGGCUUGGCUUUUUGCCCCCUGAGAUGUUUUUCUUUGUUUGGGCACUUGGGGAGGGUUUUGAUUCCAGUGAGAUGUAAGAAGCGGAGUUCUAUUUGUUAAGGCUAAACAUUCCGCUAUGUUCUUCUCAGUCAUAAUGAAAGAGGAAAUCAAUUUUAACCACAAAUUAUGUCCACGCUUCCAUUCAUAGAAGCACAUAUGUACAUAAGCAUUUUCAAAUAUAUAUUGUAUUGAUCUAAAUCUAGCACUAUCCAAAUUUGCAAACCUCCUAACCUUCUAUUCCUUCUUCCGAGGUUUCAAUCCAAAAGUUCAUAACCUCAGAGCACAAACUUGACUGCUCAGUUUUUGGUUUUGGAAUCUACAUUGUUUUGUUUAUGUCUUAUAAUGAUAUGUUCUAACUAUUAACUAAUAAUAUGUGUAUGGAAGAAUAGAUUUCCAACCCAUUAUUCAUCUAGUAUUCUAUAUUACCUAGGUUAGGUUACACGUUCUGCCUUUUUCAUCUAUUUUGUUUUAAAAAUCACAAAAAUAUGAAAUCUUUCAUAUACUGUCUAAUAUCUUUCCUAAAUAUACUCCAAAACUACCACCCAAAAUAUCGCAUGGUAUCUAUUGUAUCUCAUUAAUUAAAUUUUGAGAAAAAGUGAAAUAAUAAAAAUUUGUUGUUUGAACCCACCACCCAUAAUAAUUUCAUAAGGCAGUUAACGACCAGGACACAAGAUUCUUGGUAUAUGUCACACGGGUUAAAAUAAUAUAGAGUCAACAGGCUUCGAACAAUAAUAUUAGGCAACAUUCUUCGAACAAUUAAUCAAUCAAAGGACGCAAGAUCUUUUAUGUUGCUUCUCUGUUUCUCCAAGCAAAAGUUUGCCUGAAUUAUAUAACAACCAUGUGUACUCAUCUUACGAUCCACUGUUUCUCUCUCUCCCUCUCUUUGUGCAUCUGAAUUUCCUUGUGAAGAAAUUAUCGGCUCAAAAUCAAGAUAUAUCGUAUAAAAACCUUGACGUAGAUCACAACAAUUACGAUUACGAUUUCAUAACGUAAUAGUUUUUUUUUUUUUUUUGAUAAUCCAGGGUUCCCCGCUUCGCGGGUCAUUCCCUGGGCCCGGUUAGGCAGCGGUCCACUUCACCCGGGAAGGCUUUACCUGGGCUGGGGACAAGGCCCAACACCCAAUACCGCAUUUGAUGACAGGAUGGGCAGUUCCCCUCCGCCUGGGGUCGAACCCGGGAGCAUGACAGUUGGCCCCCAAGGUCCUUACCAAACGAGCUACCACAUCCCGUCAACCAUAUCGUAAUAGUUAUUCUUAAAAUAUCAUAAGAGUGUGUGACUUUGUUUUAAUUGUAAAAUCAAUGUUGGCCUUUCGGUAAGAACAUGUCGGCCUCUCAGUAAGCUAUUGAUCAAAUGAAAAAUGGAUCUUAAAACAUCUACUAGCAACAUUUGCAACCAAAAAUCUGAGAAACUCUUCUUAGCAACGAGUAAUCAGCUUGCAUUGCAAGGUCCAUCUCCAUGUCCUCGGCCCGUGACAGUUGUAAUGAGAAGAAUAAAAGCAGCUCCAAUGAAAAUAUAUUAAAAAGUAUCUAAGACUUAAAAUGUAAUUAAAAUAAAUGAAAAUUUUAAAUUUAAAUCAAAAGCUUAACAACUGUUCCUCUGCACCCAUCUUAUUAGAACCUCAUGAGAACCCUUGGCAAAUGACACAUCUUAUUUUAUAAUUGGCCAAAUUUUUGUCAAUAAAAUAAAAUCACCUCUCUUCAUACUUUAUAUGAUAUUAAAAGCAUUUUUAUAUAUUUUUAUAAAUCUUAAAAUAAAAUUAUCUAUCUAACAAGUUCCAUUAUUCAUAGUUUAAAUUGAAAUUAUUGAAGUUUAAUAUAAUAGUAUAUUAAGUUUUUAAUUAAUGUAAUAGUACUAAAACUAUAAAUUUUAUAUUAAGAUUCCAUAUGUUAAAAUUUUUUUAUAGAUUUAUUUUAGUUUAAGAUAAGUUUAUAUUAGUGACAUACUUAGUGAGUAUCUCACCAAUUGUUUCGUUUUGAUGUACUUUUCUGGCGAAGCGUCCGAACGGACUCUAUAUUCUAAUGAAUCUUCUCUAUUUACAAGUUUCUAGAGGUUAAUAGAUAGCUGGAAACAAAGGGAUAAAAUUUAUGUCUUUUUAAAUGUUUUUGUGUCAAUUUUGAAGUUCUAAAAGGUUUAUAUCUCUUUUGAUUAUUGGUUUGACACAAUGUCGUAUUUGUUUUUUUUUUCUGAUGGAAUCAAUGUGGUGUGUUAACUAAUUUGGUGUUUUAGUUUAACUGCAGAGUUUUUUUCACCAAGUGGUCCUUCUCAGCGUUGCUUGUCAUCCAUAAUGAGUCUCUCUGGUGCUGCUGCAGUUGGUUCUAGUUAGUGUCUUCCUCUCUUGUUUUGCUUAUUGAUUUGGUCUUGAGUGAGUGGGUAAUAAGGAAAAUAACUCCCUGGUGCAACUUUAUUUGCAGGCAGCAAUUUGAGAAGAGCGGUGGAGUUUGGGAAAACUCAUGUGGUUAGGCCCAAAGGGAAGAAUCAAGCUACUAUUGUCUGGCUACAUGGCCUUGGCGACAAUGGCUCUAGGUACUUCUUUUAUUUCUCUAACGUUGGUUUUGUAAUUUUGGAUUAUUAGCUAGCAUAAUAGUUUACAGAACAUGGCUUCCACAUUACGUUUUUCCACUCUAUAUCUCCGGGCCUUUUUUGAAUUGUGUGGGUAUGUCCUAUACACUAAUGUCUUUAAGUAAUGAGUGUAACUUAUUAUACACUGGUUAGUUCAAUAUGACAAUAUCAUUGAUCAAUUUGAAGUUUUUUGAUUGUGCAUAUUGGUAAAGUUUGUUGUAAUAAAAUUGUUUUAUAAUUUUUUUUUUAAGAACCCAUAAUUAAUAGACUUGCAAUAAACCACUUAAUGUUCAAAUCUCUUUCUAAGUCUCUUAAUUCACUUUUACACUUUAAAAACUAUUAAAAAUUAAUUAAGAGACCCUUUAAGAGAUUUUGGGAUAAUGAUGUUCUAACAGAGCAGCAACUUCGCCAGACGAGGAAGAACUCCUCAUUGAUUUAUAAAAAAAAAGUUGUCAUCAUACAAAUCAAUUUAUAUAUAUCCUAUUUAUCCAAUUACCUCAAAAAUGAAGCUAGCAAACAAAAGCAAUUAACAUUAAUACGCAAAUUUAAAUACUACAUUGACAUCAGAAGUUAACAUUAUGAGUUACUUUUUGUGGGUUUAAUAUUAUGAGUUACUUUUUGCAUCCAAAGACUCAAACUUUAAUACUCAAAUGACUAAACGAAAUUUUCUAUAUAGACGAGUUAUAUACUACGGUAUUCAAGAACAUCAACAGCAAGAGAAAAAAAAAACAGUUCUUUAGAAGUCUUAUUACAACAAUGUCUUUUCUUGGUCAUUUUCAAGUUCUUGUUUUUCUUUAUGCUCUUCUUCUUUUCUCAGCAGAAUCCCGUAAAACCCAACUAUUUGAUACUGAAUCUAGCGCUGAUGAUGGUGCAGAACACGAAAACUACGGGGAUAAGGUCGAUGCGCGAGAUAUCCCUCUGUUAUAUCUCGAGACGAAGAUUCAAAACGCUCCUGUGGGGUCACCUCAAAGACAAGAAGCUCAGAAGAAUCUGCUUGAGGAAAUAAAUCACAGGAAACAAAUCGAUCAAAACAUUAUAGAGAUUCUUAGACUUUCACUCAAACAAACCGAUGUCUUAGAUCUCUUAACUUCCACAAGAACAACAGGACAACCUGUUGUAGAUGAUUGGGACUGCUACAAGACUCUGGUAACAACCCCUUAUCAAUUAUUGUUACUUGUGUUCCACUUAAAGACCCUUAAAACAAAUAUAUAUUGAAUAAAACAUCACAGGUUAAAAGUUUCAAGAAUCAAUGUGGAGCAAAGAUGGAAUACGAUAUGAAGUAUGCAGGAGCACUUGCCAAUAUCUGCAAUAUGGGAGUGGAUGUGAAGCAAAGUGUUGCAGCUAUUGAAGAAGCUUGUGCCCAUUAAAUUAUAUGCAAAAAAUAAUAUUGUGAUGGCCUUAUAAAUAUGAAAGUUGUUGCAUAACAUUUAACUGUGUGGAGAUGGUUGAUGCCUAUUUUACUUGAUAACGCGAAAGUCUUGGUCUUAAAUUGGAUUCAUAGUAUAAUAACCUCGUACCAAUUCUAGUUUCAAGAAUUCACGCGAAAGUCUUGGUCUUAAAUUGGAGAGUGAGUAAGUGAUCGGAUAAGGCUCGGCGGCACUCGAGUCAACAUCUCGUAUCCACGUGUUAUGCUUUACGGUUUAAAGUUCUACAACCUUGAACCGGACCAGCUGAUUAAAUCUUCAUAUAUACUGGUGAACUGGACAAACCGCCAGUCCCAAAAUAUCGGUUACGACUUUUGCUGCAGACCGAAUAACCCGAAGGAUAAACCCUGAAUUUUAAAAAUUUUGUUGCCAUAAAUGUUAUGUAACAUUCAUUUUUGCAGAGAAUGUUCAGUCGAAGCUAGAACUUGAUCCGUACUUCCAUUGAGUGUUUUUUUCAUUUUUAAUGGAUUAAAUUAAGAAUGAUUAUGUUAUUUUACUAUUAUAUGGUUUUAUCCACCCAUAUUGUUAUUAAAAAAUUUAGCAAAAUAAAUAAUAAUAUAUCUCAUCGGUCAUUUGAUAAAUUUUGUGAUUGUCAUUUAUCAUUCUACAUAAUUAAAGUAUAAUAUUUUUAUUUUAUAUUUGAAUAAAAAAAAUUAAAUUGUUAUUAUCGUUAAAUAUGAUUAAACUUAUAUAUAUUUUUUUUAUCAAUCAAAGCUAAAUUAAUUUUAGUCUCUAAUUAUAUUUUAUGAUAACUAUAAUUGAAUUAAUUAAUUUUCUACAAUAAAAUUUUCAAAGAUUCUGAAAAUCUUUUUCAAAGAGUUCAGCAGAUUUUUUUUUUUUAAAUAUCAAUUUGCAUUUCAAAUAAAAAAUAAAGAUAUUCUAAUUAAAUUAUGCAAAAUUUGAUAUAGAUUCUAAGAAAUAGUCUAAAUAAAAAAUCAUAGCGUUCCUUGUCGGUAACCUAUCAGAAAACUCGAUGGCUUCAUAAAAGAAAUCUCGCUGGACACUUAUUUCCUGUGCGACUUCACUACCCUUGGCAAAUGACACAUGUCAUUUUAUAAUUGGCCAAAUUUUUUUGUCAAUAAAAUAAAAUCACCUACUCCUUAUACUUUAUAUGAUAUUAUAAAUAUUUUUAUAUAUUUUUAUAAAUCUUAAAAUAAAAUAUCUAUCUAAUUCAUUAUUCAUAGUUUAAAUUGAAAUAAUUGAAAUUUAAUAUAAUAGUAUCUUAAGUUUUUAAUUAUUGUAAUAGUACUAAAACUAUAAAUUUUAUAUUAAGAUUCCAUAUGUUUAAAAGUUUAUAUAAAUUUAUUUUAGUUUAAGAUAAGUUUAUAUUAGUGACAUUCUUAGUGAGUAUCUCACCAAUAAGAUUGCACUAACAGCUCUUACGUUCCACCAAUGCUGACUGAACCAUCCUUCAAGAACACCAUAAUGGUGAGUCACAUCUUCUUCUUCUUUUUUCCAGCCAACACAUCACCUUCAACAACAACCAGAGAAGAGUAAGCUUCAACAAAGUAGCAGCAGAUUAUUUAUUAGACUAGAAGAUGAUUUUAAAUACCAAUGAUGAUCAUGUAGACAAUCAAAACACCAUUGUUGUUAAGAAGAAGAUCUGUUUUGAGGAAAAACCCUUCCAGGGUUGCCAAAAGAGUUACCCAUUAGGCCACCAUAAGAACGACUUUUCCUAAUCUUAGUACACUUAAAGCAAUAUAUCAAUCGAUGCAUCGGUCAAAAAAGCCAUGAAAACUGUGCCACUAAAUGAAGCUCCAUUGAACUCAUCGUAAGCAACUUUGUCUCCUUGAAAUUUAGGCACUAACAGAGCAGCAACUUCGCCAGACGAGGAAGAACUCCUCAUUGAUUUAUAGAAAAAAAGUUGUCAUCAUACAAAUAAAUUUAUAUAUAUCCUAUUUAUCCAAUUAUCUCAAAAAUGAAGCUAGCAAACAAAAGCAAUUAAUAUUAAUACGCAAAUUUAAAUACUACAUUGACAUCAGAAGUUAACAUUAUGAGUUACUUUUUGUGGGUUUAAUAUUAUGAGUUACUUUUUGCAUCCAAAGGCUCAAACUUUAAUACGCAAAUGACUCAAAGAAAUUUUCUAUAUAAACGAGUUAUAUACUACCGUAUUCAAGAACAUCAACAGCAAGAGAGAAAAAAACAGUUCUUUAGAAGUCUUAUUACGACAAUGUCUUUUCUUGGUCAUUUUCAAGUUCUUGUUUUUCUUUAUGCUCUUCUUCUUUUCUUAGCAGAAUCCCGCAAAAUCCAACUAUUUGAUACUGAAUCUAGCGCUGAUGAUGGUGCAGAACACGAAAACUACGGGGAUAAGGUCUAUUGAUUUUUCGUGUAUAAGAAGUUAUAACCAUAAGAAGGAAAGAAAGUGGUCCAAGGGAGAUUAUAUGAACUAAAUCUAUUGUUUCUUUCCUUUCACAGGUCGAUGCGCGAGAUAUCCCUCUGUUAUAUCUCGAGAUGAAGGUGAAGUCCUGAUCUUUCAAGAUUGAAACAUAAACGAAAGAUUUGUCUGUUUUUGAUGUUUCACUAUAUAUUGAUCUCUCAGAUUCAAAACGCUCCUGUGGGGUCACCUCAAAGACAAGAAGCUCAGAAGAAUCUGCUUGAGGAAAUAAAUCACAGGAAACAAAUCGAUCAGAACAUUAUAGAGAUUCUUAGACUUUCACUCAAACAAACCGAUGUCUUAGAUCUCUUAACUUCCACAAGAACAACAGGACAACCUGUUGUAGAUGAUUGGGACUGCUACAAGACUCUGGUAACAACCCCUUAUCAAUUAUUGUUACUUGUGUUCCACUUAAAGACCCUUAAAACAAAUAUAUAUUGAAUAAAACAUCACAGGUUAAAAGUUUCAAGAAUCAAUGUGGAGCAAAGAUGGAAUACGAUAUGAAGUAUGCAGGAGCACUUGCCAAUAUCUGCAAUAUGGGAGUGGAUGUGAAGCAAAGUGUUGCAGCUAUUGAAGAAGCUUGUGCCCAUUAAAUUAUAUGCAAAAAAUAAUAUUGUGAUCGCCUUAUAAAUAUGAAAGUUAUUGCAUAACAUUUGAUUGUGUGGAGAUGGUUGAUGCCUAUUUUACUUGAUAACCCGAAAGUCUUGGUCUUAAAUUGGUUUCAUAGUAUAAUAACCUCGUACCAAUUCUAGUUUCAAGAAUUCACGCGAAAGUCUUGGUCUUAAAUUGGAGAGUGAGUAAGUGAUCAGAUAAGGCUCGGCGGCACUCGAGUCAACAUCUCGUCUUCGCGUGUUAUGCUUUACGGUUAAAAGUUCUACAACCUUGAACCGGACCAGCUGAUUAAAUCUUCAUAUAUACUGGUGAACUGGACAAACCGCCAGUCCCAAAAUAUCGGUUACGACUUUUGCUACAGACCGAAUAACCCAAAGGAUAAACCCUGAAUUUUAAAUUUUUUGUUGCCAUAAAUGUUAUGUAACAUUCAUUUUUGCAGAGAAUGUUCAGUCGAAGCUAGAACUUGAUCCGUACUUCCAUUGAGUGUUUUUUUUUCAUUUUUAAUGGAUUAAAUUAAGAAUGAUUAUGUUAUUUUACUAUUAUAUGGUUUUAUCCACCCAUAUUGUUAUUAAAAAAUUUAGCAAAAUAAAUAAUAAUAUAUCUUAUCGGUCAUUUGAUAAAUUUUGUGAUUGUCAUUUAUCAUUCUACAUAAUUAAAGUAUAAUAUUUUUAUUUUAUAUUUGAAUAAAAAAAAAUAAAUUGUUAUUAUCGUUAAAUAUAAUUAAAUUUAUAUGUAUUUUUUUAUCAACAAAGCUAAAUUAAUUUUAGUCUCUAAUUAUAUUUUAUGAUAACUAUAAUUGAAUUAAUUAAUUUUCUGCAAUAAAAUUUUCAAAGAUUCUGAAAAUCUUUUUCAAAGAGUUCAGCAGAUUUUUUUUUUUUAAAUAUCAAUUUGCAUUUCAAAUAAAAAAUAAAUAUAUUCUAAUUAAAUUAUGCAAAAUUUUAUAUAGAUUCUAAUAAAUAGUCUAAAUAAAAAAAAUCAUAGCGUUCCUUGUCGGUAACCUAUCAGAAAACUCGAUGGCUUCAUAAAAGAAAUCUCGCUGGACACUUAUUUCCUGUGCGACUUCGCUACCCUUGGCAAAUGACACAUGUCAUUUUAUAAUUGGCCAAAUUUUUUUGUCAAUAAAAUAAAAUCACCUACUCCUUAUACUUUAUAUGAUAUUAUAAAUAUUUUUAUAUAUUUUUAUAAAUCUUAAAAUAAAAUAUCUAUCUAAUUCAUUAUUCAUAGCUUAAAUUGAAAUAAUUGAAGUUUAAUAUAAUAGUAUCUUAAGUUUUUAAUUAUUGUAAUAGUACUAAACUACAAAUUUUAUAUUAAGAUUCCAUAUGUUAAAAAGUUUAUAUAAAUUUAUUUUAGUUUAAGAUAAGUUUAUAUUAGUGACAUUCUUAGUGAGUAUCUCACCAAUAAGAUUGCACUAACAGCUCUUACGUUCCACCAAUGCUGACUUAACCAUCCUUCAAGAACACCAUAAUGGUGAGUCACAUCUUCUUCUUCUUUUUUCCAGCCAACACAUCACCUUCAACAACAACCAGAGAAGAGUAAGCUUCAACAAAGUAGCAGCAGAUUGUUUAUUAGACUAGAAGAUGAUUUUAAAUACCAAUGAUGAUCAUGUAGACAAUCAAAACACCAAUGUUGUUAAGAAGAAGAUCUGUUUUGAGGAAAAACCCUUCCAGGGUUGCCAAAAGAGUUACCCAUUAGGCCACCAUAAGAACGACUUUUCCUAAUCUUAGUACACUUAAAGCAAGAUAUCAAUCGAUGCAUCGGUCAAAAAAGCCAUGAAAACUGUGCCACUAAAUGAAGCUCCAUUGAACUCAUCGUAAGCAACUUUGUCUCCUUGAAAUUUAGGCACUAACAGAGCAGCAACUUCGCCAGACGAGGAAGAACUCCUCAUUGAUUUAUAGAAAAAAAGUUGUCAUCAUACAAAUCAAUUUAUAUAUAUCCUAUUUAUCCAAUUAUCUCAAAAAUGAAGCUAGCAAACAAAAGCAAUUAACAUUAAUACGCAAAUUUAAAUACUACAUUGACAUCAGAAGUUAACAUUAUGAGUUACUUUUUGUGGGUUUAAUAUUAUGAGUUACUUUUUGCAUCCAAAGGCUCAAACUUUAAUACGCAAAUGACUCAAAGAAAUUUUCUAUAUAAACGAGUUAUAUACUACCAUAUUCAAGAACAUCAACAGCAAGAGAAAAAAAAAACAGUUCUUUAGAAGUCUUAUUACGACAAUGUCUUUUCUUGGUCAUUUUCAAGUUCUUGUUUUUCUUUAUGCUCUUCUUCUUUUCUUAGCAGAAUCCCGCAAAAUCCAACUAUUUGAUACUGAAUCUAGCGCUGAUGAUGGUGCAGAACACGAAAACUACGGGGAUAAGGUCUAUUGAUUUUUCGUGUAUAAGAAGUUAUAACCAUAAGAAGGAAAGAAAGUGGUCCAAGGGAGAUCAUAUGAACUAAAUAUAUUGUUUCUUUGCUUUCACAGGUCGAUGCGCGAGAUAUCCCUCUGUUAUAUCUUGAGACGAAGGUGAAGUCCUGAUCUUUCAAGAUUGAAACAUUAACGAAAGAUGUGUCUGUUUUUGAUUUUUCACUAUAUAUUGAUCUCUCAGAUUCAAAAAGCUCCUGUGGGGUCACCUCAAAGACAAGAAGCUCAGAAGAAUCUGCUUGAGGAAAUAAAUCACAGGAAACAAAUCGAUCAGAACAUUAUAGAGAUUCUUAGACUUUCACUCAAACAAACCGAUGUCUUAGAUCUCUUAACUUCCACAAGAACAACAGGACAACCUGUUGUAGAUGAUUGGGACUGCUACAAGACUCUGGUUAAAAGUUUCAAGAAUCAAUGUGGAGCAAAGAUGGAAUACGAUAUGAAGUAUGCAGGAGCACUUGCCAAUAUCUGCAAUAUGGGAGUGGAUGUGAAGCAAAGUGUUGCAGCUAUUGAAGAAGCUUGUGCCCAUUAAAUU